UUUGCAUAUCCNAAAGCGGAGGAAAGGAAACCAACCGGGAUUGCCUUAGUAACGGCGAGUGAAGCGGCAAAAGCUCAAAUUUGAAAUCUGGUACCUUCGGUGCCCGAGUUGUAAUUUGGAGAGGGCAACUUUGGGGCCGUUCCUUGUCUAUGUUCCUUGGAACAGGACGUCAUAGAGGGUGAGAAUCCCGUGUGGCGAGGAGUGCGGUUCUUUGUAAAGUGCCUUCGAAGAGUCGAGUUGUUUGGGAAUGCAGCUCUAAGUGGGUGGUAAAUUCCAUCUAAAGCUAAAUAUUGGCGAGAGACCGAUAGCGAACAAGUACAGUGAUGGAAAGAUGAAAAGAACUUUGAAAAGAGAGUGAAAAAGUACGUGAAAUUGUUGAAAGGGAAGGGCAUUUGAUCAGACAUGGUGUUUUGUGCCCUCUGCUCCUUGUGGGUAGGGGAAUCUCGCAUUUCACUGGGCCAGCAUCAGUUUUGGUGGCAGGAUAAAUCCAUAGGAAUGUAGCUUGCCUCGGUAAGUAUUAUAGCCUGUGGGAAUACUGCCAGCUGGGACUGAGGACUGCGACGUAAGUCAAGGAUGCUGGCAUAAUGGUUAUAUGCCGCCCGUCUUGACCCACGGGACC
This 619-nucleotide ribosomal RNA is filed under the name Saccharomyces cerevisiae (brewer's yeast). RNAcentral's name for it is "eukaryotic LSU rRNA". It matches the Rfam family "Eukaryotic large subunit ribosomal RNA", at positions 35 to 664 of the family's 3401-position model. The record is from RNAcentral. Lineage: Eukaryota; Fungi; Ascomycota; Saccharomycetes; Saccharomycetales; Saccharomycetaceae.